This 95-nucleotide ribosomal RNA is filed under the name uncultured bacterium. RNAcentral describes it as "partial 16S ribosomal RNA". It matches the Rfam family "Bacterial small subunit ribosomal RNA", at positions 1388 to 1482 of the family's 1533-position model. The record is from RNAcentral.
CACCGCCCGUCACACCAUGGGAGUUGGUUUCACCCGAAGGCAGUGCGCUAACCGCAAGGAGGCAGCUGACCACGGUGGAAUCAGCGACUGGGGUG